GACGAACGCUGGCGGCGUGCUUAACACAUGCAAGUCGAACGGAAAGGCCCUGCUCUUGUGGCGACUUCAAGUGGCGAAAAGGUGUGUAACACGCGAGUAACCUCUCCCUUUCAUCGGGAUAACACCAGGAAACAGGGGCGAUUAUCGGACAUGAACUCCUUAUACACGGGGGUGGUUGGUAAAUUGUGGCGUUUGAGGACGUAAUGGUGGCCUAGCGGCUUGUUGGUGAGGUGGUGUCUUACCAAGGCUUGGACGUGUAGCCGGCCUGCGAGGGUGACCGGCCCCAUUGUGACUCGGAUACGGGCCGGACUCCUACGGGAGGCAUGAGUGAGAAAUAUUGCACGAUGGGCGGAAUCAUGAUGCAGCAACGCCGCGUGCGGGAUCACUGCCGUCAGGGUGUAACCCUCUUUCGACUGUGACGAAGCGUGAGUGACGGUAAUGGGUAAGGAAGCACCGGCUAACUACGUG
This 468-nucleotide ribosomal RNA is filed under the name uncultured bacterium. RNAcentral's name for it is "partial 16S ribosomal RNA". It matches the Rfam family "Bacterial small subunit ribosomal RNA", at positions 28 to 507 of the family's 1533-position model. The record is from RNAcentral.